RNAcentral lists this ribosomal RNA (253 nucleotides) under uncultured bacterium. Its description in RNAcentral is "partial 16S ribosomal RNA". It matches the Rfam family "Bacterial small subunit ribosomal RNA", at positions 524 to 776 of the family's 1533-position model. The record is from RNAcentral.
UACGUAGGGGGCAAGCGUUGUCCGGAUUUACUGGGCGUAAAGAGCGUGUAGGCGGCUAAACAGGUCCGUUGUGAAAACUGGAGGCUCAACCUCCAGACGUCGACGGAAACCGUAUGGCUAGAGUCCGGAAGAGGAGAGUGGAAUUCCUGGUGUAGCGGUGAAAUGCGCAGAUAUCAGGAAGAACACCUAUGGCGAAGGCAGCUCUCUGGGACGGUACUGACGCUGAGACGCGAAAGCGUGGGGAGCGAACAGG